GGUCUGCUAGUUAAAGUGUGUUAUAAUGUGGAUUUUGUAAGUCUGAGUUGAUCGGUGAUCGUUGGCCU
This 68-nucleotide transfer RNA is filed under the name Echinococcus vogeli. RNAcentral's name for it is "tRNA-Thr". The record is from RNAcentral. Lineage: Eukaryota; Metazoa; Platyhelminthes; Cestoda; Cyclophyllidea; Taeniidae.